UGUAAUUCCAUAUUACAAGAAGGUUGAGGUACUGGUCCGUAUAUAAAUUGAAACCGUUAAAAUAUAUUUUCUCUAAGUGUUCUCUGAGUGUGCCAAGUGCUGUGCAGGUAGGAACUGUCCUCACUGAUUUUUCACCCUCAACAAGCCGAUUCUAUAACUGUCCAUCACCUUAGAACAAUCUCCAAACAAUCUGCAGACAAGCCAAGACCUUUGGCAAGCACCGCAGCCUGUUUACUGUGGCGCACAAUAUAUAUCAGCUAUCAAGAAGCCUUUUCCCCAUAUCUCAAUGGUUGUUUGUCAAGGCGUAACAUUAGGUUGGUAAUUGACUCUCCUGUUCCCUUUAAAACUCCAGUCUACCCCAUCACUUUGUGUUAGUAUUGGGAAGAUAUUUAGUUUAUGAAAAGUGAGAAAUACAUACGGUGCUAGAGGGGCUGAAAAGCAUAAGGUGCUAGCUGAUCAAUGUAAGUUGGGUAGUUCCAUCGGCCCGGUGGGUUGCUCUUCUCUUCUAUGUGAUAAGCAGAUAUUGCUAAGGGUUGCAUGAAGGAAAAGGUCUUGGGCUUGCAUCGUGAUAACUGUUUUCUGGGUCUACAUUA
Non-coding RNA from Prunus avium (sweet cherry), 593 nucleotides. The record is from RefSeq and is a predicted model, not a curated record. Lineage: Eukaryota; Viridiplantae; Streptophyta; Magnoliopsida; Rosales; Rosaceae.